GUACUAAUUGUCGUACAGAAAACACGGGGAGUAUUGUACUCCCUAUGGUGUCCAGAAGAUGCAAGUCUCUGAAGCUGAGGGAAGGCAAAAAGCAGUCACAUUUCUGUUGUACUUGACUAUUAAAUCAAUGCAGCUGACCACAUCAUCAGAUGCCUAAUAAGAAAUACCACAGUAUCUGGAGAUGAUUUAGUGAAUUAACAAUUCACUAGGCUAUACAAAAAUGAAUUAAGAGAAAUACAUUGGGGAAUUCUUGUGGGACCACAGCCUCUGAAGACAACUGCUCUGCUGGGAUGGAAACUAACACAAGUAGGAUGUAAUUAAGACAGCAGCUAACUUCUAUAGCCUGUUUAAGGCCACGGAGGAGUAAGAAUACAUGUGAAAGAUAAGUAUGCAAAAACUCCCAUCAAAAUAAGGUCAUGAACAGUUACAAGGAGAUGCUUUAAAGUUAUGACAUGGGUUCCUAACUGGGCUGGUAAAAAAUUCUGGCUAUGAAUCAAGAGAGAAAUGACAGAAGACAAGAAGGAAGUUACUUUGCAUAUUAGUUGUUUUUGUUUGUUUGUUUGUUUUGGUUUGUUUGUUUGUUUUUGUCCCCCAGAGCUCCUGCCUCCUCGCUCUUUAUUUUGAUGGAAAACAUUUAUACUGUCUUAAAACUGGAUUGUACGCAAUACUCCUAACCCGUUUGCAGAGAGUGGUUUCAAACUGCUUUGUCCAAGGAGAGCUACACAGGACUUUAUGUUCAGGAGCUAUAAUCUCAUCAGCAAAACUUCCUUUGAAUAAACUGUGACAUUCUUCAGAAAUACAUGGCUAGUUCCUCCUGGUAUAUCUGAGGCACCACAAAGAACUUUGUCUGGGUAUGGUUAUAUAUCCAUUCCCCAGGGAUAGUUUGAAGCACCCUCAAUGAAAGGAUCUUCGAUCGGUGUUUUUUCUGUACCCAAGUUUUCAGUUUUCCUUGACCAGUGCAUGGAGUAUUCUUGUGGGAAUUUUUUUUUUUUUUUUUGUCUGGAAUUUGGGAUAAAGGAAGGGCAUUACUUUCAUGGCCUAAUCUAGCUCAAAGGCUAAUACAAUGAAUGUUAAUUCCAUCAGGGAUCUUUUAUGUUUUCAAACUUGUGAAUAACUUGGAGUGAUUUGUACACACAGGUACUAGGCAGAAAUUAGAAAUCUGGCAAAUGUUUAUCAAAUAUUAGAAUGUAUCACCAUUUUGAACCAACCUAAGAAUGCCUGUGUUCCGUGAAAUCUUCUCUGCUGAGCUGACUUAAUGAGAAGAGCGUUUUGAGGAUGUAUUAUUUAUAAGGUACAAAACUUUGUGUUUGCUAAUGAUUCUCUGUAUGGACAAUGAAACACUGCAAAGCAGUAUUCAGUAUUAUUAACUUUUACUUUUCUUUUUGGCUCACAUUUCUGCACAAAAGACUUACCAUCAUAAAAAAUGUAGUGAUUGGUGCCAGUUGUCAUGCCUUGUGGGUGUUGGCUUGGCAAAUAGUUUAAAUAUGGAGCAAACCAGCCAAUUCAUUUUAGCAAUGUGGAAAAAGGGAUUCAUAGGGAUAUACUUUGUGUCAUUUGUGUCAAGCGCAAAUAUGCAGGUUAUUUCCUCAAUUUCCUGGGUAAAUGUGUAGUUGUUUUAUGACAUGCUUGAAUAACCUCUCUGUAUAACUCAGAGAAGCAACUGGUCAAAUAUAAAUGUGUCUGUAGUUAACACCAGUGGCAGUUAAGACUUUCUUUUAUAGGCUGGCAUAAGUUACAGCACUAUGGCAAUGCACUGCACUCCUGUAAACUUCCUGUCUGCAAGUUGAUUCAUGCAGACCGUUCUGCCUCCCUGCCCUUUGGGUGAUGAAAUUACAUCCUGGAAUUACUGGUCAAGCAGAGCACAUGAAAACUGUACUUUGUAGUCUGACAAGACCAGUGGUUGUGACUUCAAAUGAAGAGAUGGGAAUGCACUUUUCAAGGAGGCACCCAAAUCAUCGCUCACCUUUCAGCACAUGUAGGAAGAUUUAGGUACAAGAGAUAUCUAUCUGAGUAGUGGUACUAAUCACACAGACUGAAGAAGAGGAAAGGAAGAUUCAGCACAUUCAGAAUUUGAAAGUGAGCUGCAGAAGAGAACAUCUGCAAGAACCAAAUGUUUCAAAGAAAAGCCAUUUUAUAAAGAUGAACAAACAUCAACAAGGCAUCUACGAAUGAAAAAGAAGGAAGAGAGGAAGCAACACCAGAAGAAUGACAAUGGAAAUCUUUUGUAAGGGUGAAAGAAAUACAGUGAGCAAGUCUGGGGAAUCAUGAAAGAAAAUGGUGGCCUCUGAUACAGGAUUAGGAAAACCCUAACCAAACAAAGGUUCAAAAUGAAUGGAAAGGGACUUCCCAUUUUUAUAUUAAGAUACAUGUAUGUGCACCUUGCAGGCUUGACAGUGAAACACUAAGUCUUGUACAUAGACUGUUCCAACACUGUUUCAUUCAAUGGACUUCAUCCAGGAUGAUGUUGCAGAUUCAAGAGACGUUAUCAAGGCCCUGCAAGCUAUGAUCUGACAUGGGGAAAGGUCCACACAAACAAGAGAAGUGACAAUAUUUAGCCUAUGUUUGAAAAUAAGAUCUUUGCACAGAAGAUUUUCUUAGACAGUAAAAAAAAAAAAAAAAAAAAAAAAAAAAGGUGUGGGGAAACCCUAGUCACAAAAAUGGGUGCUGUGAUGUCAUUUCAUUCUUUGUUGGUCUGAUGGUCUGAACAAACAGUGGUGGUGAAUGAGAUACAGUGGAUGAGAAAAACAUCAUUCCUCUGGAAUCCAUUUUCCAAAACACAUUACCCCAUAUCUUGGAACCACUGAUGCUCACUGCCUGCAUUGACUCAAGAUUCUGAACAGGAAACAACUCUUAAAAACAAAUUCUACAUCAUCCUUAAGAAAAAAGAAAAGCGUUUCCUUGCUCAUCAGUCAUACCGCCAUAGCUCAACUCUUUAUUUUAGCCUGCAAUUAGAAAUUUGCAGGGUUCAGGCCAAAAGGGUUCCAGAAAGUGCAGAAAAGAAAGUGAAUGAACUGACAGAGGAAAGAAGAUGAUGUUUCUGGAGAAAAGAAGCUUUUGUAAUUAGCAGAGACUUCAGGUGGUUUUCUAAGACACUACGCCUCUUUUGCUGCCCUUGUAAUCUCCAGAAGGCAAUUAGAUGUUUCUGGCAUCCAUCUCCGGAGCUCAUUCUACAGACCGGCAAGCUGUUGUUGGCUCCAUUGCCUUCAGGAGACUUUGGCCUGGUACACUGUUUCUGUGCACAAGGUGGCCACGAUUCCUUGAACUCUGCUGAUUCCCAAGGGUUUGUGUUUGUCCUGACAGCUAAUAUUACCUCUAUGAAAAAGAAGGAAGACUUUUUGACCAUUUCAAAGCCUCUGCUGUAGCCAGGUGCUGCACUCUUCCAUUUACCAGGAAUUACUCUUGUCUAUCGGUGAAACAUUCAACAAAAGGAAUGAAAAAGAAACAACAUCCUGACUAGAAAAUCAUCAUCAUCAGAAACCACGUUACAAGAAGAGAACAACUUCUGCUUCUCUACAAGCCUGUUCUGCCUGCUGAGUGAGAAUCCUCCGGGAUUGUUGGUGGGACAUUUCCACUCAAGGAAACUCAGCAAUAUUUUUUUUUUAAAUCAAAAUUAUCUGAGGAAAUAUUUACAUGUACAUGGCUCACAAAGAGAAAUGGGAAGGGACACACCAUUCCCUGCAAUUUAAUCUGUACCAGUGCAGCUUUUGUCUGAAAAGGUUAUUUUAAUAUCAAAUAUGCUGAUAGGAGUUCUGAGAGCUGUAUCCUCAUGCAAAAAUUAGGAGUGAACAACUGAAUGCAACACACCUUAUAUUCUGCUUUCCAAAAAGAGCAUCAAUUAGUUACUGAAGUAAAUUUAAGGGAAGAAAUACAUACCCACAUACACAGUUACUGUAUACAAUACAGUCUUGUAACCAUUUGAAGGAUGGCACUGUAUAAUGGAGGUAAAUUCAUAAAUGGGAAUCAGUUGAUUUAAAGUGAUAACACAAAUACUGCUGCCAACACAUUCAGGCAGAUUAUAACUUAGAAGAUAUGUCAACACAAAAUCACACAGAACUUAAAACUAUUACUACUUAUUUGUGUUAUCUGUAUUGAGCCUUGCAACUACUUUCUUCAAGCCAGAUUUAGUAAGCAUUUAUCACUGUUUUAACCCCCUAGGAAUACACAUGCUCAUCCAUUUAUAUAGCAUUCCUAAACAGUGUACAAGCUCAAGCCUUAAAUUCAGCCUCAAAGUCACCAUUCAAAUUUGCAUCUGUAUUAUUAGGGUCACAGGUCUCUGGUUUGCAGAGUCCAGCCUAUCCUCUGGGUACGCAGAGACUGCAGUGAGUUGAGGUUCAGGUGGCAACUCCUUCUCUGCUGCAAAUUGCUGUUACAAUCAAUGCAACAAAACAUAUUAGGAUAUGUAGAACUUACCAAAAUAUUUCUAGAUUUUCUUCCAUGUCCCUCCAGCCACUGAGAUUUCUUUUUAUUGGCCCUUCUCACUUCUAGGGUAUUUCCAUACUAGGUUUUGAUACACUGCAAAGAGCAGACUGUGUUUUUCUGUACCAAUAAACUUCUGGAUCCAUAACAACCACGUUAGAUAUGUAAAAGAACAUUAAAAUGAGUAUUUUAUGAUGUUUUUUCCUCUGCUUUUCUCUGUCUGUUUAGCCACAUCUAUUCUAUAUCCUGAAUGUUCACAUCAUUAUUAUCUUUUCAGUAUCGAUACAUUCUUUUUGUCAGUGAUCUCCUGACUGUACUUUACCUGCUCUCCCACCUUCUGAAAUACUAACUCUGCCACAGCACUAAGCUACAGAGAUCUGGUAAGAAGGAAACGUAGGUUCCUGGAGUCCUAAAAUAAUCCAGUGAAGAAAAACAAAAAGGAUGGCAGAAGGCCAACAAAGACUAUGUAAUGUAACUCUAAGUGUCAGGGUUUUUUUAAGUAUGUGUGGCUGCUGUAUCUCAUACUUGGAGAAGUUGUCACAUGCUGUCAGCGCCGGCUGAUCUCCAGUUGGUGUUUCCAAGAGCAGCCCUUUCAAGUCAGUCCCAAUGAACUCAGAGACAGAGACAUUUUCUGUAGUGAAGCUGCACACUCCUUUGUCAUAUGUUCCUUUCUGGAGAGGUAAACCAAGUGAAAACUGGUAUCCUAUACUUAACACCUUCAGACACACUGAAUCCAAAAAGUCUGUUGAAGCACAAGUCACUGCCUAACAAUGAAGGUGCUCUGCUACUGCUGCCUGUAAGCUCAUUGAUAAACAAUUCUGAUCCUCUUCUAUGAUGAACUGUUAGUCAGAUCACUGAUAAUCAUUCCUGAGCUGCACUGAACCAUACGAGUAAUACCUCUGUCAGCAGAGCUACCCUCCAACAGAGAUUGGUGGCCAUUCUUGUUGCUGUGACAAUACACAUUACAGUUGUUUUUCACAACUUUCUCCUGCACGCCUUAGAUUUCAUAAACCAAAUGUCCAGUUUGGUGUUCCACUGGUGCAGCUCCAAGCUGUGACUCAUAAUGAGUGUAGAAGGGCACUGUUCUACAUGUACGCCUGUUUGUAGUCAGCAAACACAGGCAACAGGCUCUGUAGCCAGAUAUCCAGUUCUUUUAUCAAAUAAUUGGUUUAAUCUAAAUUUGUCAUCUUCAAAAACCUUAAUCUUUGUUAACCUAUUUCUUCAGUUUUUCAAACUCCUGAGAGCAUAUGGUACGGAUUCAUCCAAUCUCACUUUCCCUGUCAUUUAUGGUGAUCAGUAAAUAUUGGGCAGCAAUUAUUUUAUUGCAUUGUUUACCUCGCAGCACUAGUCUUUGCAGUAAAUAUAAAAUAAAAUUAUUUUGUAUCUUGAAGUUAAUUGUGUUGCAAUUUUCUAGCCCUCGGUGUCUGUGGAUGUUGAGGACAACUCUCUGAAGCACUUCACAGGAAUCCAAGAUGUAUUGCAAGUGUCUCACUGCAUCAAAAACUUCCUAUUUCCUUGCCACUGGGUCUGCAAAUGAUGUGAUGUUUGUAAUAACCAUUUCCUCACUUUUGCUCAUUUAGUGUGUAACAUUAGAAUAAAACUGGACCUCUGCCACUCUGUUAGACAUUUCAUUAAUAACUCUUUCUUGAAGUGGAGCUUCUCACAUAAAGGAGUCACUCUCAGACUGGACAAAAAUAGUUUGCAUCUUUGAAGGAGCAUUACAUUUCUACUUCCCUUUUUAACCCUACAUAAAAACUGAUCCAAUUUAGUCUGUAGUUUUUGAACCUUCUCCACUCAACCACUUGCCAGUUCACUUCUGGUUUCCUAGAGCAGUCACCUCUCCUAAAUUUUCUGUUUCUAGAUUCAGCAUGGCAGGAUCUGGUAAAGCUGAGGCAUAUUUUGGGCCUAUCAAUAAAUGUUUGUAUCAAAAGUUCUCUUGAUGCAUACAAGAGAACUGUAUAGCAAUUCUUCUUUGUACUGUUUUGCACCAGGAAGUGUCAGUCUGUUAUGAUCCUAGUAAGAAAGGCACUCAGACUCUCUAAAUGCUUAUUAUAGCUAACACUAUAAGGAAAGUAUAGAGUAGACAUUCCUACAACCCUUUAGAUGGUAGGAGCCUCAGAUGAUGCAGCACGAAACAGACUCUAGUCCAUCCAUGGUGACACAGGACAGAACCUAUCCAUAGGACAGAUUCCAACCUGUAGUCAUUUGAGCUAUUACAGGCUUUUCUUACAAGAAAACAUCCCUAUUCAUCAUUUUUACUGUCAAACAGAAACAAUGUUCUCAUGAGAACUUCUUGCAGCACUGUCAGAUAAAGGCAAGGCCAUGCAAGAGGAAUAAUCACCGGCACUGAAUGGGAGCUGCCUGCAGCUCCUCCUUGACAAGAAGCCACCUGAGCUUGCCCUGCAGCCACCAGAUUUGUGUAGCACAACACUGGCCUGAAGGCCAUGCUGUGUGUGCAGCACAGGACAGGUCUGUCAGGAAGACUGUGUUGUGGAUCAAUCAUGCCUUGAUGUACAAUGGCUUCCCUGUAGGGAUCACUGCAGCUACCUCUUGCCUUACCUUUCAUUUAGGAUUUCAAAAGGGCAAGUUCCUUCUCACAGUAAGCCAUAUAUAUGGUUGUAUGACUGUGCAUAAGAGACAAAAGGUACUCUGAACAUACACAGUUAAAAACAAUCUAAAAAGACUGUUAGGAUGAUGUUGGUUCCUUUUUCCCAUGUACUCAAAUGGAAAUAUUUGAAUUAUCCAUAUGUCCCAGUUUCUGCUGCUUGAUCACUAAAUUUCUUUCAGAAUUUUUGAAUUAAAAAAUGAAUUAUAAGUGAUUUAAUAUCCUGAACUUGUGCAAUAAUGGCUUGAAAAAAAAAAAUCAACUAUUUUAUUAAGUCUUUGGAAAUAACUAUUUCCAAAGACAGAAAGAACUUAACUUUCUUCUCCCUGCAUCAAAGACAGUAAUGUAAUGCAGGAUUUAACAAUUAGAUAAGUUUACAACCUCUAAUAUCACAUUUCACAAAAGUGUCACUCUUCAUAGACUCCAAAUUGAUUACAAUGCCUAGGCAAUUUGCUAGGAAACUAGAGAGGAUAUCUGCUGGUGGUGGUUGCAAGCACAAGCAAAGCCAGUCAUAUGGUCCUCACCCCAAACAUGAUGUUCUAAAGGCCAGCUGAAGGAUUUGUAUAACAUAUGGGCUAGAGUAAAUUGGUAGAGGUUGAGAUUAGUCAGAUAAAUAAGCAAAGAAAGCACAUAGCUGAGUCUGGUCUUACGGAGUUGAACAAGAAAAGAGAAACAUUUUAGAAACAAAUUAUGUUAUUUGAGCAAUGACACAACACACAUACACGGUGGGAAACA
This is a non-coding RNA of Anas platyrhynchos (mallard), 7756 nucleotides long. The record is from RefSeq and is a predicted model, not a curated record. Lineage: Eukaryota; Metazoa; Chordata; Aves; Anseriformes; Anatidae.